CCCGCUCGCCGGAAGACCAAGGGUUCCUGUCCAACGUUAAUCGGGGCAGGGUGAGUCGACCCCUAAGGCGAGGCCGAAAGGCGUAGUCGAUGGGAAACAGGUUAAUAUUCCUGUACUUGGUGUUACUGCGAAGGGGGGACGGAGAAGGCUAUGUUGGCCGGGCGACGGUUGUCCCGGUUUAAGCGUGUAGGUUUGCAGACCAGGUAAAUCCGGUCUGCUUCAAGACUGAGACGUGAUGACGAGGCACUACGGUGCUGAAGUAACAAAUGCCCUGCUUCCAGGAAAAGCCUCUAAGCAUCAGGUAACACGAAAUCGUACCCCAAACCGACACAGGUGGUCAGGUAGAGAAUACCAAGGCGCUUGAGAGAACUCGGGUGAAGGAACUAGGCAAAAUGGUGCCGUAACUUCGGGAGAAGGCACGCUGAUACGUAGGUGAAGCGGUUUACCCG
RNAcentral lists this ribosomal RNA (449 nucleotides) under Salmonella enterica subsp. diarizonae. RNAcentral describes it as "partial 23S ribosomal RNA". It matches the Rfam family "Bacterial large subunit ribosomal RNA", at positions 1329 to 1772 of the family's 2925-position model. The record is from RNAcentral. Lineage: Bacteria; Pseudomonadati; Pseudomonadota; Gammaproteobacteria; Enterobacterales; Enterobacteriaceae.